AGCGGCGGACGGGUGAGUAACACGUGGGUAACCUGCCCAAGAGACUGGGAUAACACCUGGAAACAGAUGCUAAUACCGGAUAACAACACUAGACGCAUGUCUAGAGUUUGAAAGAUGGUUCUGCUAUCACUCUUGGAUGGACCUGCGGUGCAUUAGCUAGUUGGUAAGGUAACGGCUUACCAAGGCAAUGAUGCAUAGCCGAGUUGAGAGACUGAUCGGCCACAUUGGGACUGAGACACGGCCCAAACUCCUACGGGAGGCAGCAGUAGGGAAUCUUCCACAAUGGACGAAAGUCUGAUGGAGCAACGCCGCGUGAGUGAAGAAGGGUUUCGGCUCGUAAAGCUCUGUUGGUAGUGAAGAAAGAUAGAGGUAGUAACUGGCCUUUAUUCGACGGUAAUUACUUAGAAAGUCACGGCUAACUACGUGCCAGCAGCCGCGGUAAUACGUAGGUGGCAAGCGUUGUCCGGAUUUAUUGGGCGUAAAGCGAGUGCAGGCGGUUCAAUAAGUCUGAUGUGAAAGCCUUCGGCUCAACCGGAGAAUUGCAUCAGAAACUGUUGAACUUGAGUGCAGAAGAGGAGAGUGGAACUCCAUGUGUAGCGGUGGAAUGCGUGGAUAUAUGGAAGAACACCAGUGGCGAAGGCGGCUCUCUGGUCAGCAACUGACGCUGAGGCUCGAAAGCAUGGGUAGCGAACAGGAUUAGAUACCCUGGUAGUCUAUGCCGUAAACGAUGAGUGCUAAGUGU
Molecule: ribosomal RNA, 742 nt
Filed under: uncultured bacterium
Lineage: Bacteria
Description: bacterial SSU rRNA
Rfam family: Bacterial small subunit ribosomal RNA
Source: RNAcentral